UACGUAGGUGGCGAGCGUUGUCCGGAAUCAUUGGGCGUAAAGGGAGCGCAGGCGGGCAUGUAAGUCUUUCUUAAAAGUGCGGGGCUCAACCCCGUGAUGGGAAAGAAACUAUGUGUCUUGAGUACAGGAGAGGAAAGCGGAAUUCCCAGUGUAGCGGUGAAAUGCGUAGAUAUUGGGAGGAACACCAGUGGCGAAGGCGGCUUUCUGGACUGCAACUGACGCUGAGGCUCGAAAGCCAGGGGAGCAAACGGG
Molecule: ribosomal RNA, 252 nt
Filed under: uncultured bacterium
Lineage: Bacteria
Description: partial 16S ribosomal RNA
Rfam family: Bacterial small subunit ribosomal RNA
Source: RNAcentral